Molecule: ribosomal RNA, 404 nt
Filed under: uncultured bacterium
Lineage: Bacteria
Description: bacterial SSU rRNA
Rfam family: Bacterial small subunit ribosomal RNA
Source: RNAcentral
CAAGGGAUUUUCCGCAAUGGGCGCAAGCCUGACGGAGCAACGCCGCGUGGGGGAGGAGGCCCUUCGGGGUGUAAACCCCUUUUCUCGGGGACGACGAGCGACGGUACCCGAGGAAGAAGGCCCGGCAAACUACGUGCCAGCAGCCGCGGUAAUACGUAGGGGCCGAGCGUUGUCCGGAGUUACUGGGCGUAAAGCGCGCGCAGGCGGCCGCCCGCGCCCGGCGUGAAAGCCCCCGGCUCAACCGGGGAACGUCGCCGGGGACGGGGUGGCUUGGGGGCGGCAGGGGUCGGUGGAAUGCCCGGUGUAGUGGUGAAAUGCGUAGAGAUCGGGCGGAACACCCGUGGCGAAGGCGGCCGACUGGGCCGGCCCCGACGCUGAGGCGCGAAGGCGUGGGGAGCGAACGG